CAGCAGUGAGGAAUAUUGGUCAAUAGCCUAACGGCUGAACCAGCAACUUGGAGGAAUGUAUAGCUAAAGCUAAACGUAUUUUGUAAAAAUACAGAUUCGAUUUACUCGUAUAAAGUUCUAGAUAGGAUUAUGAUAAUGACAUUGCCUAUCUAUAUGUCUUGACCAAAUUACGUGCCAGCAGUCGCGGCAAGACGUAAAAGACUAGUGUUAUUCAUCUUUAAUAGGUUUAAAGCGUACCUAGACGGUAAAUAAAGCCUUAACCGGGACUAAUUUAACUAGAGUUAGAUGUAAGGGUGCAUUAACGUACUGUUGAGUGUAGAGAUGAAAUUCUGUUAUACCAGAUUAUUGGCACGGGUUUAGGCGAAAGCAUCGCCUUAUGUAAUAACUGACGUUGAGGGACGAAGGCUUUGUGUCGCGAACAGGAUUAGGUACCCCAGUAGUCUAAGCAGAAAAUGAUGAGUGUCAUAGGUUAAAUAUUAUUUGGUCUAUAAAUGAAAGUGUAAGCACUCCACCUCAAGAGUAAUUUGGCAACAUUGGAAUUGAAAUCAUUAGACCGUUUCUGAAACCAGUAGUGAAGUAUGUUGUUUAAUUAGAUAUUCCACCAAAAACCUUACCACAAUUUGAAUAUUUUACAAGCGUUGCACGGCUGUCUUCAGUUAAUGUCGUGAGAUUAUGGUUAGUUCCAUUAAAUUAACGUAAACCCUUACUUUAUUUUAUUUUA
This 721-nucleotide ribosomal RNA is filed under the name Enchylium tenax. RNAcentral describes it as "SSU rRNA". It matches the Rfam family "Bacterial small subunit ribosomal RNA", at positions 349 to 1123 of the family's 1533-position model. The record is from RNAcentral. Lineage: Eukaryota; Fungi; Ascomycota; Lecanoromycetes; Peltigerales; Collemataceae.